This is a long non-coding RNA of Vicia villosa (hairy vetch), 872 nucleotides long. RefSeq lists it as uncharacterized. The record is from RefSeq and is a predicted model, not a curated record. Lineage: Eukaryota; Viridiplantae; Streptophyta; Magnoliopsida; Fabales; Fabaceae. The transcript has 3 exons.
UCUCUCUGCUCUCUCGGUUGCUCUAUCUCUCUCGCGAGUUUUCUCUGCUCUCGCUUUGCUUGCGAAGUGAAUGACAGCAACAGCAAAGCACUCUUUCUCUCGGUUUCGUUCGUGGUGAAGAAUAACAACGCUUGUGAUUCUCACCCUGUGAAACAACAACAACGAUAGAGUUCUUUCUUUCUCAAGAUCACUCUCUCUCUUUGUUCUCUCUCGCUCACGGUUAUAACAACAAAACGAUAGUUGGUCCUCUCUCGGUUCUUCCCUCACGAUUUUCUCUUAGAGCAACAACAUCAAUUUUACUCAAACAGAAUUGAGGUACAACAACAAUAGUGACUUGGCCUCAUUUCAAUCGGUUACCUCUCUCUCUGAAUCGCUAUUUUUGCUCUGUGAAUAACAGUAACAAUGCUCAACCAAUCUCUCUUAGUUUCACGGCAGCCAUUGGUGAACAAGAAGUUGUUUUAAAGGUAUGGUUCUCACAGAUUUUGUUUCUAUGGAACAAUUCAUUUUCUUAUGCUCUCUUGUUUUUUUUUGGUUUUGAGCAAAUUAUAAGUGAAGAACAGAUAAUAGUGAUAUCAAAAGUGGAAGGAGAACCGAAUUACCUGCGGCGAGGAGGAUUUCGCCGGUUUAAUUGCUGCUAUGGCUUUUGAUGAAGGUGAUACCAUAACACCUCUUUGGAUUCGCGGGAACUUUGGAUAUUAAGGAGACUUGAAGAUGAUCUUCAAGUGGAAACCUUCCACCAAGGUAUGAACUAUUUCUUCACCCUUUUUCAAACUAUGGAACUUUGAAAAUUAUGAAAAGAGAGAAGUGAGAAAGCUAGUAGUAUAGUAGCUUUGGUGUGUUUUGCAAUGAAGAGAACACCUCUAUUUAUGGGA